UGUCUUGGAUCUCCAGCCCUGCUCUGCUCAACUCUUGGAGGAAACAUAGCAGAUUAAUAAUAAUAAUAAUAAAAAACACUUUUGAUAUUAGUGUUUAUGGGUUUUUGCGCUCUGGCAAGAGGAGCCCAAUAUAGAAGCUUAGGUAAUCAACCCCCAGCCUCUGCUCUGGAUUCUCCGUUUAU
Long non-coding RNA from Oryctolagus cuniculus (rabbit), 182 nucleotides. It matches the Rfam family "HOXA transcript at the distal tip, conserved region 4". The record is from Rfam. Lineage: Eukaryota; Metazoa; Chordata; Mammalia; Lagomorpha; Leporidae.